CCGCCCAUAGCUCAGUUGGUAGAGCAGCUCCCUUUUAAGGAGAUGGUCCUAGGUUCGAAUCCUAGUGGGCGGACCA
RNAcentral lists this transfer RNA (76 nucleotides) under Candidatus Kaiserbacteria bacterium CG10_big_fil_rev_8_21_14_0_10_45_20. Its description in RNAcentral is "tRNA-Lys". It matches the Rfam family "tRNA". Rfam says of the family: Transfer RNA (tRNA) molecules are approximately 80 nucleotides in length. Their secondary structure includes four short double-helical elements and three loops (D, anti-codon, and T loops). The record is from RNAcentral. Lineage: Bacteria; Candidatus Kaiseribacteriota.